AGCAAUUUUAUCAUCUAUCCCCUUUCCUCUACUUCUCCAAUCUCUCUAUAUCUAUGCAUCUAUUACCGGCGGCCACCACUCUCCUCGUCCACCAUCACUGUUCAGAUACUACCAGCAAGGGAGCUUACUAAUUUGGCUGAACUAGUUACUAAUUUGCAUUCGAUUCUUGGCAACAGAUAUGAUGAUGAAGAGUACUUUAAGCUGUCUCAUUCAAAAUAGACAAUAUCAUCGCACGGCAUUCUCGGUUGCUAAGUAUGGAAUCCCCUAUAGGGUCAAGGUACACCCUACUAGUAAAUUUGACAUGACCAGACAAGAAGAACGUGAAAGGUGGUAUAGGCAUUUUUUGGAGAAAUGCAAAAUUGAUUCAAAAAAAAUUAGGACGGUUUAUGAAGAUGAUUGCUUCGUGUUUCAAGGCAAAUUGCUUAAAGAUCAAGCAAAAAGAGUACCGUGUAUGGACGGAUUCAUAUCCAUGAGACGUAUAUUUCUGGCCGAUAUCUGCUAGAGAAGACGGGAUCAGCAAGUGAUAAUUCUAUAUGGCCCUUCUAUCUGCUUGUUUGCAUACCUGACCUUGUGGGAUUUUCUAUUAGUGGCUUUACGACUGAAGUGUUUUUCUAAAUAAAAUAAAACCUUUUUUUGUAAGGAUCUAUAUCUAUAUCAAUAUCUAUAUAUUGCCUAAGUGGUUAUUCUUUGUA
This is a long non-coding RNA of Erigeron canadensis, 692 nucleotides long. RefSeq lists it as uncharacterized. The transcript has 3 exons. The record is from RefSeq and is a predicted model, not a curated record. Lineage: Eukaryota; Viridiplantae; Streptophyta; Magnoliopsida; Asterales; Asteraceae.